UAGCGGAGGAAAAGAAACCAACAGGGAUUGCCUUAGUAGCGGCGAGUGAAGCGGCAAAAGCUCAAAUUUGAAAUCUGGCUCUUUCAGAGUCCGAGUUGUAAUUUGAAGAAGGUAUCUUUGGGUCUGGCUCUUGUCUAUGUUUCUUGGAACAGAACGUCACAGAGGGUGAGAAUCCCGUGCGAUGAGAUGAUCCAGGCCUAUGUAAAGUUCCUUCGAAGAGUCGAGUUGUUUGGGAAUGCAGCUCUAAGUGGGUGGUAAAUUCCAUCUAAAGCUAAAUAUUGGCGAGAGACCGAUAGCGAACAAGUACAGUGAUGGAAAGAUGAAAAGAACUUUGAAAAGAGAGUGAAAAAGUACGUGAAAUUGUUGAAAGGGAAGGGCUUGAGAUCAGACUUGGUAUUUUGUAUGUUACUUCUUCGGGGGUGGCCUCUACAGUUUAUCGGGCCAGCAUCAGUUUGGGCGGUAGGAGAAUUGCGUUGGAAUGUGGCACGGCUUCGGUUGUGUGUUAUAGCCUUCGUCGAUACUGCCAGCCUAGACUGAGGACUGCGGUUUAUACCUAGGAUGUUGGCAUAAUGAUCUUAAGUCGCCCGUCUUGA
RNAcentral lists this ribosomal RNA (593 nucleotides) under Candida tropicalis. Its description in RNAcentral is "eukaryotic LSU rRNA". It matches the Rfam family "Eukaryotic large subunit ribosomal RNA", at positions 48 to 657 of the family's 3401-position model. Lineage: Eukaryota; Fungi; Ascomycota; Pichiomycetes; Serinales; Debaryomycetaceae. The record is from RNAcentral.